GGCGGCAGGCUUAACACAUGCAAGUCGAGCGCUCAGCAAUGAGAGCGGCGCACGGGUGAGUAACACGUGGGAACAUGCCCUUUGGUUCGGAAUAACUCAGGGAAACUUGUGCUAAUACCGGAUAAGCCCUUACGGGGAAAGAUUUAUCGCCAAAGGAGUGGCCCGCGUCCGAUUAGCUAGUUGGUGAGGUAAAGGCUCACCAAGGCGACGAUCGGUAGCUGGUCUGAGAGGACGACCAGCCACACUGGGACUGAGACACGGCCCAGACUCCUACGGGAGGCAGCAGUGGGGAAUCUUGGACAAUGGGGGAAACCCUGAUCCAGCCAUGCCGCGUGAGUGAUGAAGGCCCUANGGUUGUAAAACUCUUUCGGCGGGGACGAUAAUGACGGUACCCGCAGGAGAAGCUCCGGCUAACUUCGUGCCAGCAGCCGCGGUAAUACGAAGGGGGCUAGCGUUGUUCGGAAUUACUGGGCGUAAAGCGCGCGCAGGCGGUCCUUCAAGUCAGA
This 506-nucleotide ribosomal RNA is filed under the name uncultured Alphaproteobacteria bacterium. Its description in RNAcentral is "bacterial SSU rRNA". It matches the Rfam family "Bacterial small subunit ribosomal RNA", at positions 38 to 592 of the family's 1533-position model. The record is from RNAcentral. Lineage: Bacteria; Pseudomonadati; Pseudomonadota; Alphaproteobacteria.